Molecule: ribosomal RNA, 606 nt
Filed under: uncultured bacterium
Lineage: Bacteria
Description: bacterial SSU rRNA
Rfam family: Bacterial small subunit ribosomal RNA
Source: RNAcentral
AACGAACGCUGGCGGCGUGGAUUAGGCAUGCAAGUCGAACGAGAAUCUGAGAGUCCAAGUUUUCGGACAAGGACUUUUGGAGGAAAGUGGCGGAAGGGUGAGUACAACAUGGAUAAUCUACCUUCAAGUUGGGUAUAGCUUUCCGAAAGGAGAGAUAAUCCCGGAUGUGGUGAUCCGGCGCAUGCCGGAGACUCCAAAGGUGGGGACCGCAAGGCCUGCCGCUUGAAGAUGAGUCCGUGCACUAUCAGCUAGUCGGUGAGGUAAUGGCUCACCAAGGCUAUGACGGUUAGCUGGUCUGAGAGGAUGGUCAGCCACACUGGGACUGAGAUACUGCCCAGACUCCUACGGGAGGCUGCAGUCGAGAAUCAUUCGCAAUGGGCGAAAGCCUGACGGUGCGACGUCGCGUGGAGGAUGACGGUCUUCGGAUUGUAAACUCCUGUCAUGUGGGAUAAAUAGCCCGGGUGUGAAUAGCACUUGGGACUGAUAGUACCACAGGAGGAAGAGACGGCUAACUCUGUGCCAGCAGCCCGCGGUAAUUCAGAGGUCUCGAGCCGUUGUUCGGAUUUACUGGGCCGUAAAGGGAAGCGUAAGCCGGCCGGGUGUGUC